UGAAUACGAGAUGCUACGGCGUCGAAGCAGUGUAUGUCAGACUUCCAAGAAAAGCUCGCAAUGUCAUAAAUAAAGAAUGCCUGUACCAUAACCGACACAGGUGGGUAGGUAGAGUAUACUAAGGGGCGCGAGAUAACUCUCUCUAAGGAACUCGCAAAAUAACUCCGUAACUUCGGGAGAAGGAGUGCCUUCUUUAAGAAGGUUGCAAUAACAAGAUCCAAGCAACUGUUUAUCAAAAACACAGGUCUCCGCUAAGUCGUAAGACGAUGUAUGGGGGCUGACGCCUGCCCAGUGCCAGAAGGUUAAAGAAGUUGGUUAGCUUUUGCGAAGCUGAUGACUGAAGCCCUGGUGAACGGCGGCCGUAACGAUAACGGUCCUAAGGUAGCGAAAUUCCUUGUCGGGUAAGUUCCGACCCGCACGAAAGGCGUAAUGAUUUGGAUACUGUCUCGGAGAGGGACUCGGUGAAAUAGACUUGUCUGUGAAGAUGCGGACUACCUGCACCAGGACAGAAAGACCCUAUGAAGCUUUACUGUAACUUGAAAUUGAAAUUGGACUUUAUUCGCGCAGUAUAGGUGGAAGGCGUUGAAAGUAAUCUUGCGGGAUUAGUGGAGCCAUCAGUGAGAUACCACUCCUAUAAUGUUAGAUUUCUAACUUUGGAUCAUGAUCUGGUCAAAGAACAGUUUCAGGCGGGCAGUUUGACUGGGGCGGUCGCCUCCCAAAUGGUAACGGAGGCGUACAAAGGUUUCCUCUGAACGGGUAGAAAUCGUAUCUAGAGUGUAAAGGCAUAAGGAAGCUUGACUGUGAGACCUACAAGUCGAGCAGGGACGAAAGUCGGUCUUAGUGAUCUGACGGUGCUGAGUGGAAAGGCCGUCACUCAACGGAUAAAAGUUACUCUAGGAUAACAGGCUGAUCUCCCCCAAGAGUUCACAUCGACGGGGAGGUUUGGCACCUCGAUGUCGGCUCAUCGCAUCCUGGGGCGGUAGUACGUCCCAAGGGUUGGGCUGUUCGCCCAUGAAAGCGGUACGCGAGCUGGGUUCAGAACGUCGUGAGACAGUUCGGUCCAUAUCCGGUGUAGGCGUUAGAAUAUUGAGAGGAGCCUUCUUUAGUACGAGAGGACCGAGAAGGACAUACCUCUGGUGUACCAGUUAUCGUGCCAACGGUAAACGCUGGGUAGCUAUGUAUGGAGAGGAUAACCGCUGAAAGCAUCUAAGUGGGAAGCCCACCUCAAGAUGAG
RNAcentral lists this ribosomal RNA (1234 nucleotides) under metagenome. Its description in RNAcentral is "bacterial LSU rRNA". It matches the Rfam family "Bacterial large subunit ribosomal RNA", at positions 1564 to 2808 of the family's 2925-position model. The record is from RNAcentral.